CUUGAAAGGUCACCUUGACUUCCCCAAGGAGUUUACUUGGAGGCAUUCAGGAUGCCAGUCCAGAAAGCCUCACAGAUUGAGGUAGAUAAGAGGACACUUCCCUUCAACCACAGGAGCACAUGCAGAAGAAACAUGGACAGAGCUCUGAAGAAAAGUGCAGAGGAGCCACAGUCACUGAAAGUCCAGUAGUAUCUCAUUACCACUAUUUCUAAAAUCAUCUACCAUCAGGAAUGG
Molecule: non-coding RNA, 234 nt
Organism: Lonchura striata (white-rumped munia)
Lineage: Eukaryota; Metazoa; Chordata; Aves; Passeriformes; Estrildidae
Source: RefSeq, a predicted model, not a curated record